GAGUGAAGCCCGCCAAAGAAGUGUGGUCCCGGUGAGACACUUUCCAGGGCAUUCCGUGGCUCACCAGCUAGUAGGGGGCUGAAUUAACCCCUAGUGAGUUCAUCUCUAGGGCCUCACUAGUGUCAGGAAUGGGUAGGAAGCUCCACCGGGUCACAUGCAAGGUGCUUCUCUCACGUGUGCCCUCACUCCUGUUCCCCAUCACCUUCUCAGCAUCUGUCCUUAGGUCCUGGGGCCCCUCUCCAGCUCACCUGUUGAUUUGGAGACAAAUGACACCACCGGGACUCCGUUGCUUUUGCUCUCACACACAUGGCUUUAGCCCUAAGGCGAGAGCAACACGGUUGGACAGUUGGCUGGAAAGGAGAGUCCUGAGCACGUAUUUUCUUUCAUUGUCACCCCAAAGAGGAGCAGGCAGCCUCUUGCUUGGGAAUAGGAUUUGCUUUGGACUCAUGCUUUAGUUACCCUCAGGCUGCCAGGGAUGGCUAUCUAACCAAGAUUGCUUGACAAUUCUUUGCAGGCCUCGCAGAUGGCUUGGAGCUUUGCUGGGGAGGAGCGGAUUGGUGGCUGCCAUGCAUGCCUCCUCCUGUCCGCACCUUUACCCUGCUUACUCGCCUGUUCUAACCUACUUUCCAGCUCCUAACGGGCUGGUGAGUCAAGAAUCGGGUUACAACUGGAAGCUACUUGCAUGACUUGACCCGGGUCAUAGUUGAGGUUCAUUGGGAGAAAGGGCUUCAGUGAAUGUCUCAGGCCCCAGAAAACACUUCCCUGCAGUGUCCACAUAAAUAUUUCCCAUUCUUAAUGAGUUGGCAUUACCAAGCAGCCUCCUGGUUGGGGGACAGUCACACAUAGGGGAGAGUGUUAAGAGGUUUGGGAUGAGGCAACAAGUACCCCUAAAAAUUAAUACAUGGAGAACUUUGCUUGAGUCUCUUCCUUCCCAGUUUCAAAAGCACGGGUGGAAUAAAGGGGGGUAUACUGAGUGGAGGCUGUAGCAGAUUCUCUCAGGGCUCUGACCAUCGUGCAUAGUCACGGUACCAGUUCUUGCCUGUCUCAUCUCUGCUCUCUCAAGAAGCUGCUGUGAUGAGAAGUGGGAAAGCAAUGCAAUUAUGCCAAACAGUAUUGAGAAGGAUAAUUUAUUUCUCUUCCCUUUGUUUUGUUUAAACCAUGAAUCCCCAUUCUAGAAAAGGUAGGUCCCAGCACCCACAUCUUUUUCUUCUAUAGUUAUUUAAACAUUCAAUUUUUUCCUUCCGUUUCUUUUCUUGAAUUAAAAAGAACAAAGCCCA
This is a long non-coding RNA of Mastomys coucha (southern multimammate mouse), 1277 nucleotides long. RefSeq lists it as uncharacterized. The transcript has 2 exons. NCBI's taxonomy places the organism in Eukaryota, Metazoa, Chordata, Mammalia, Rodentia, Muridae. The record is from RefSeq and is a predicted model, not a curated record.